This 104-nucleotide small nucleolar RNA is filed under the name Propithecus coquereli (Coquerel's sifaka). RNAcentral describes it as "Small nucleolar RNA U13 (ENSPCOG00000011450.1)". It matches the Rfam family "Small nucleolar RNA U13". The record is from Rfam by way of RNAcentral. Lineage: Eukaryota; Metazoa; Chordata; Mammalia; Primates; Indriidae.
AUUCUUUUGUAGUUCAUAAGCAUGAUGAUUGGGUGUUCACACGGAUGUGUGAGAUGUGCCUCUCUCAAACCUUGUUACGACGUCGGCACGUUACCCAUCUGACA